UGCGACAUGUGCCCUCCUUAGUACUGAUCUCAUCUGAUCUCGGAAGCUAAGCAGGUUUGGGCCUGGUUAGUACUUGGAUGGGAUGAUCCUUUUAAUGUCCUGCUGGAUCCUAUUAGCUAGGAUCUUGUUGAGA
Molecule: ribosomal RNA, 133 nt
Organism: Ursus maritimus (polar bear)
Lineage: Eukaryota; Metazoa; Chordata; Mammalia; Carnivora; Ursidae
Source: Ensembl